This 474-nucleotide ribosomal RNA is filed under the name uncultured bacterium. RNAcentral's name for it is "bacterial SSU rRNA". It matches the Rfam family "Bacterial small subunit ribosomal RNA", at positions 32 to 518 of the family's 1533-position model. The record is from RNAcentral.
AAUCAACGCUGGCGGCGUGCCUCAGACAUGCAAGUCGAACGAUUAAAGCUCUCUUCGGAGAGUGUAUAGAGUGGCGCACGGGUGAGUAACACGUAAGUAAUCUACCUUUGAGUGGGGAAUAACCCGGGGAAACCCGAGCUAAUACCGCAUAAUGCAGCGGCACCGCAAGGUGACAGUUGUUAAAGGAGCAAUCCGCUUAAAGAGGAGCUUGCGGCAGAUUAGCUAGNGGUAAGGUAAUGGCUUACCAAGGCUUCGAUCUGUAUCCGGCCUGAGAGGGCGGUCGGACACACUGACACUGAAUAACGGGUCAGACUCCUACGGGAGCAGCAGUCGGGAAUUUUGGGCAAUGGGCGAAAGACCUGACCCAGCGACGCCGCGUGAAGGAUGAAGUAUUUCGGUAUGUAAACUUCGAAAGAAUGGGAAGAAUCAAUGACGGUACCAUUUAUAAGGUCCGGCUAACUACGUGCCACGCCG